GGCGAGAUAGCUCAGAUGGCUAGAGCACAUGGUUCAUACCCAUGGUGUCGAGGGUUCGACUCCCCCUCUCGCUAC
Molecule: transfer RNA, 75 nt
Filed under: Roseburia inulinivorans
Lineage: Bacteria; Bacillati; Bacillota; Clostridia; Lachnospirales; Lachnospiraceae
Description: tRNA-Met(cat)
Rfam family: tRNA
About the family: Transfer RNA (tRNA) molecules are approximately 80 nucleotides in length.
Source: RNAcentral